Molecule: ribosomal RNA, 134 nt
Organism: Vigna angularis (adzuki bean)
Lineage: Eukaryota; Viridiplantae; Streptophyta; Magnoliopsida; Fabales; Fabaceae
Source: Rfam
AGGUGCGAUCAUACCAGCCCUAAUGCACUGGAUCCCGUAUGAACUUCGCAGUUAAGCGUGCUUGGGCGAUAGUAGUAGUAGGAUGGGUGACCUCCUGGGAAGUGACCUCCUGGGAAGUCCUCGUGUUGCACCUC